Molecule: ribosomal RNA, 199 nt
Filed under: uncultured bacterium
Lineage: Bacteria
Description: partial 16S ribosomal RNA
Rfam family: Bacterial small subunit ribosomal RNA
Source: RNAcentral
ACGCUCGACACCUACGGGAGACAGCAGUGGGGGAUAUUGCACAAUGGGGGGAACCCUGAUGCAGCGACGCCGCGUGAGGGAAGAAGGUUUUCGGAUUGUAAACCUCUGUCCUCAGGGAAGAAGAUGACGGUACCUGAGGAGGAAGCCACGGCUAACUACGUGCUAGCAGCCGCGGUAAUCUGAGGCGGGCUGGCAAGGC